Molecule: ribosomal RNA, 1951 nt
Filed under: human gut metagenome
Description: bacterial LSU rRNA
Rfam family: Bacterial large subunit ribosomal RNA
Source: RNAcentral
GAAAGUAAGCAAGGGCAGACGGUGGAUGCCUUGGCUCUCGGAGGCGAUGAAGGACGUGAUAAGCUGCGAUAAGCUUGGGGUAGGUGCAAAUAACCUUUGAUCCCAAGAUUUCCGAAUGGGGCAACCCGGCUGGUAGAAGGCCAGUCAUUCCGUAAGGAAGGCGAACGUGGGGAACUGAAACAUCUAAGUACCCAUAGGAGAAGAAAACAAAAGUGAUUCCGCAAGUAGUGGCGAGCGAACGCGGAACAGCCCAAACCGAUGAUGUUUAGGCAUUGUCGGGGUAGUAGGACCACGUUGUGGCAAGAGAUUAAGGAAGUAGAACGUUUUGGAACAAACGGCCGUAGACGGUGAAAGCCCAGUAUACGACUCUUUAACGAAGCCUAGUGGAAUCCUGAGUAGCGCGGAGCACGAGAAAUUCUGUGUGAAUCAGCGGGGCCCAUCCCGUAAGGCUAAAUACUCCCGAGAGACCGAUAGCGAACCAGUACUGUGAAGGAAAGGUGAAAAGCACCUCGAACAGAGGAGUGAAAUAGUCCCUGAAACCGUCUGCCUACAAGCGGUCGGAGCAACGUAAGUUGUGACGGCGUGCCUUUUGCAUAAUGAACCUACGAGUUACUUUCUCCGGCAAGGUUAAGGGCUUCAGGCCCGGAGCCGAAGCGAAAGCGAGUCUUAAUAGGGCGUGAUAGUCGGAGUGAGUAGACGCGAAACCAAGUGAUCUACCCUUGGUCAGGAUGAAGGUUGGGUAACACCAACUGGAGGUCCGAAUGGGUAUACGUUGAAAAGUGUUCCAAUGAACUGAGGGUAGGGGUGAAAGGCUAAUCAAACUUGGAGAUAGCUCGUACUCCCCGAAAUGCAUUUAGGUGCAGCCUUUAUUUAGUAUAGCAUGAGGUAGAGCGACUGAUUGGAUGCGAGGGCUUCACCGCCUAUCAAGUCCAGAUAAACUCCGAAUGCGUGCUAUAUAUUGAUAAGGAGUGAGGGCGCGGGUGCUAAGGUCCGCGUCCGAGAGGAGAAGAAUCCAGACCAUCAGCUAAGGUCCCCAAAUAACAGUUAAGUUGAACUAACGAAGUCGGACUGCAGAGACAGCUAGGAUGUUGGCUUGGAAGCAGCCAUUCAUUUAAAGAGUGCGUAACAGCUCACUAGUCGAGGAGUCCGGCGUGGAUAAUACUCGGGCAUAAACUGUUUACCGAAGCUAUGGAUGUAGAAAUACAUGGUAGGGGAGCAUUCCAACGGCGUCGAAGGUGAAGGAUGACCUUUGCUGGAGCUUUUGGAAACGCAAAUGUAGGUAUAAGUAACGAUAAAGGAGGUGAGAAACCUCCUCGCCGAAAGACUAAGGUUUCCUGAUCAACGUUAAUCGGAUCAGGGUAAGUCGGGACCUAAGGUUAAGCCGAACGGCGAUACCGAUGGAAGAAUGGUUUAAUAUUCCCAUACUACUUUAUGGAGCGAUGUGGAGACGGAGAAGUGAAAGUCCUGCCAUCUGACGGAAUAGGUGGUUGAAGAGUGUAGAUGUAGAUUCCUGUAGGCAAAUCCGCAGGGAGAGUCGACCUUGAUAGUAUGCCGCGUGCUUGCACAAGGCAAAAUGGACGUAAUCAGGCUCCCAAGAAAAUCCGCUAAGCAUAUUCAUAAAGUACCCGUACCGUAAACGGACACACGUAGUUGGGUUGAAAAUACUGAGGCGCUCGAGUGAUUCACGGUUAAGGAACUAGGCAAAUUGACCCUGUAACUUCGGGAUAAAGGGUCCCUACUGAGAGGUAGGGCGCAGAGAAUAGGUCCAGGCAACUGUUUAACAAAAACACAUGGCUGUGCGAAAUAGAAAUAUGAAGUAUACAGCCUGACACCUGCCCGGUGCUGGAAGGUUAAGAGGAGAGCUCAUCGCAAGAGAAGGCUUGAAUUGAAGCCCCAGUAAACGGCGGCCGUAACUAUAACGGUCCUAAGGUAGCGAAAUUCCUUGUCGGGU